UAACUUAAGAGUUUGAUUAUGGCUCAGAACGAACGCUGGCGGCAUGCCUCAUACAUGCAAGUCGAACGAGAUCUUCGGAUCUAGUGGCGCACGGGUGAGUAACAUGUGGGAAUCUACCUGAAGGUUCGGAAUAACUGCGGGAAACUGUAGCUAAUACCGGAUGUGUCUGCAAAGAGAAAGAUUUAUCGCCUUCAGAUGAGCCCGCACUAGAUUAGCUAGUUGGUGAGGUAAUUGCUCCACCAAGGCUACGAUCUAUAGCUGAUUUGAGAGGAUGAUCAGCCACACUGGGACUGAGACACGGCCCAGACUCCUACGGGAGGCAGCAGUAGGGAAUAUUGGACAAUGGGGGAAACCCUGAUCCAGCAAUGCCGCGUGAGUGAAGAAGGCCUUCGGGUUGUAAAGCUCUUUCAUCAAUGAUGAUAAUGACAUUAGUUGAAGAAGAAGCCCCGGCUAACUUCGUGCCAGCAGCCGCGGUAAUACGAAGGGGGCUAGCGUUGUUCGGAAUCACUGGGCGUAAAGCGUAUGUAGGCGGAUCAAAAAGUUAGAUGUGAAAUCCCUGGGCUCAACCCAGGAACUGCAUUUAAAACUAGUGAUCUAGAAUUUGGUAGGGGUUAGUAGAAUUUCCAGUGUAGAGGUGAAAUUCGUAGAUAUUGGAAAGAAUACCAGUGGCGAAGGCGACUAACUGGGCCAUUUUUGACGCUGAGAUACGAAAGCGUGGGUAGCAAACAGGAUUAGAUACCCUGGUAGUCCACGCAGUAAACGAUGAGUGCUAGUCGCUGGGACAAUAGUUUCAGUGUCGAAGCUAACGCAUUAAGCACUCCGCCUGGGAAGUACGGUCGCAAGAUUAAAACUCAAAUAAAUUGACGGGGGCCCGCACAAGCGGUGGAGCAUGUGGUUUAAUUCGAAGCAACGCGAAGAACCUUACCAGACCUUGACAUGGUAUGUUUGAAUUACAGAAUCGUAAUUCUUCAGUUCGGCUGGCAUACACACAGGUGCUGCAUGGCUGUCGUCAGCUCGUGUCGUGAGAUGUUGGGUUAAGUCCCGCAACGAGCGCAACCCUCAUUUUUAGUUGCCAGCAGGUUAAGCUGGGCACUCUAAAAAAACUGCCGGUGAUAAGCUGGAGGAAGGCGGGGAUGACGUCAAGUCCUCAUGGCCCUUACGGUCUGGGCUACACACGUGCUACAAUGGUGGUGACAGUGGGCAGCAAUACUGCAAAGUAAAGCUAAUCCCAAAAAACCAUCUCAGUUCGGAUUGGACUCUGCAACUCGAGUCCAUGAAGUUGGAAUCGCUAGUAAUCGUAGAUCAGCGUGCUACGGUGAAUACGUUCUCGGGCCUUGUACACACCGCCCGUCACGCCAUGGGAGUUGGUUUUACCUUAAGCCGGUGCGCUAACCGUAAGGAGGCAGCCGUCCACGGUAGGGUCAGUAACUGGGGCGAAGUCGUAACAAGGUAACCGUAGGGGAACCUGCGGUUGGAUCACCUCCUUU
Molecule: ribosomal RNA, 1487 nt
Filed under: Candidatus Pelagibacteraceae bacterium
Lineage: Bacteria; Pseudomonadati; Pseudomonadota; Alphaproteobacteria; Candidatus Pelagibacterales; Candidatus Pelagibacteraceae
Description: bacterial SSU rRNA
Rfam family: Bacterial small subunit ribosomal RNA
Source: RNAcentral